AUUGAACGCCGGCGGCAGGCUUAACACAUGCAAGUCGAGCGGAGAUGAGGUGCUUGCACCUUAUCUUAGCGGCGGACGGGUGAGUAAUGCUUAGGAAUCUGCCUAUUAGUGGGGGACAACAUUCCGAAAGGAAUGCUAAUACCGCAUACGUCCUACGGGAGAAAGCAGGGGAUCUUCGGACCUUGCGCUAAUAGAUGAGCCUAAGUCGGAUUAGCUAGUUGGUGGGGUAAAGGCCUACCAAGGCGACGAUCUGUAGCGGGUCUGAGAGGAUGAUCCGCCACACUGGGACUGAGACACGGCCCAGACUCCUACGGGAGGCAGCAGUGGGGAAUAUUGGACAAUGGGGGAAACCCUGAUCCAGCCAUGCCGCGUGUGUGAAGAAGGCCUUAUGGUUGUAAAGCACUUUAAGCGAGGAGGAGGCUACUAAGACUAAUACUCUUGGAUAGUGGACGUUACUCGCAGAAUAAGCACCGGCUAACUCUGUGCCAGCAGCCGCCGUAA
This 501-nucleotide ribosomal RNA is filed under the name uncultured bacterium. RNAcentral describes it as "partial 16S ribosomal RNA". It matches the Rfam family "Bacterial small subunit ribosomal RNA", at positions 30 to 523 of the family's 1533-position model. The record is from RNAcentral.